GACGAACGCUGGCGGCGUGCUUAACACAUGCAAGUCGAACGAUGAAGCCGGAGCUUGCUCUGGUGAAUUAGUGGCGAACGGGUGAGUAACACGUGAGUAACCUGCCCUUGACUCUGGGAUAACUGCGGGAAACUGUAGCUAAUACCGGAUACGACCCUCGGAGGCAUCUCCUGGGGGUGGAAAGAAUUUCGGUCAAGGAUGGACUCGCGGCCUAUCAGCUAGUUGGUGAGGUAAGGGCUCACCAAGGCGACGACGGGUAGCCGGCCUGAGAGGGUGACCGGCCACACUGGGACUGAGACACGGCCCAGACUCCUACGGGAGGCAGCAGUGAGGAAUAUUGCACAAUGGGCGCAAGCCUGAUGCAGCAACGCCGCGUGAGGGAUGACGGCCUUCGGGUUGUAAACCUCUUUUAGCAGGGAAGAAGCGAAAGUGACGGUACCUGCAGAAAAAGCACCGGCUAACUACGUGCCAGCCGCCGCUGUAA
RNAcentral lists this ribosomal RNA (484 nucleotides) under uncultured bacterium. RNAcentral describes it as "partial 16S ribosomal RNA". It matches the Rfam family "Bacterial small subunit ribosomal RNA", at positions 28 to 523 of the family's 1533-position model. The record is from RNAcentral.